UUUGUACUCCAUCCGUCCCAAAAUUCUUGUCUUAAAUUUGUCUAAAUACGGAUGUAUCUAGUUACAUGUUAGUGUUAGAUACAUCUGUAUCUAAACAAAUGUAAGACAAGAAUUUUGGGGACGGAGGGAAUGCUAC
This is a non-coding RNA of Triticum aestivum (bread wheat), 136 nucleotides long. The record is from Rfam. Lineage: Eukaryota; Viridiplantae; Streptophyta; Magnoliopsida; Poales; Poaceae.